Non-coding RNA from Meleagris gallopavo (turkey), 627 nucleotides. Lineage: Eukaryota; Metazoa; Chordata; Aves; Galliformes; Phasianidae. The record is from RefSeq and is a predicted model, not a curated record.
GGCUCCACCUCUCCUAGACACCAUUUAAGGGCUGACUGCCACUGAAGAAGAAUCUCUUUCUCUAGAGGUUGCUCCUUGUGGAGUUUCCUAUGAGCCUACAAUGCUGCUGGUCUGAAGAGAGGAGAUAAUUAGCGUGGAAAUUGGAACAUUCUCAGGAAGAAGCAGAGGGCAGCAAAGCAAGCAAACAAAAAAAAAAAAGGCAAAAAAACUACCAAAAAGAAAAAAAUUCCACUGCUCACUACUUCAAUUUGCAUUUGAUGUUUUUCUGAGCGCAUCUGAAGCAGCGCUAUCUAGAGUUUAAUUACAGAAAGUAAAAAAGUAAUAAUAAAAAUAUCAACCGUUAUUUUCAUGCUUUCGUAUAAAAUAUUGAAAACUGGAAGCAUGUAGUGGUAUGAAUGCAUAUGUCCACACAGUUUAAAAGAAUCAAGAAAACAUUCUUCUGCUGAAUAUUUCCUACUGUACUACUGGAAAAUCUCCACCAUGGAAACAGCUUCCAUGGCAAGACUGUUAGGCACUGCAGGCAUGCAAGGAAGUCUCAGGAGCACUGUUGUAUUGGAAAUGACAUGUGCCUCUGCCCUCGGGGUAGAAUGCCCAAAGUGAAGUGCAGUGGCAAUUCUCAUCUCUGCA